Molecule: ribosomal RNA, 2132 nt
Filed under: Candidatus Peribacteria bacterium RIFCSPLOWO2_02_FULL_55_36
Lineage: Bacteria; Candidatus Peregrinibacteriota; Candidatus Peribacteria
Description: bacterial LSU rRNA
Rfam family: Bacterial large subunit ribosomal RNA
Source: RNAcentral
AAAUUUUACUCCGCGCAUCACACGGAUGCCUCGACUCUGGAGUCCGAUGAAGGACGUGGCCAGCUACGAUAAGCCUCGGUGAGCCGCUAGGCAGGCACUAUUAGCCGGGGAUUUCCGAAUGGGGCAACCCAUGGGGGUUAUACCCCCGUAUCCGGCUUCGGCCGGAAGGUCACUCUGCGAACUGAAACAUCUCAGUAGCAGGGGAAGAGAAAUCAACACGAGAUUCCCUGAGUAGUGGCGAGCGAAAGGGGAACAGCCUAAACCAUGAUCGCAAGAUUGUGGGGUUGCAGGACCUCAAUAUCCGACUCCCUUCUCAUAGGCGAACGACCCUGGAACGGGCGGCCAAAGAGGGUGAGAGCCCCGUAGACGAAAUGGGGAGGGGCGGUAGGGGAAUCCUAAGUAGGGUCGGACACGUGUAAUCCGGCCUGAAUCCGGGUGGACCACCAUCCAAGGCUAAAGAGCUCUAGAGAUCGAUAGCGAAUAGUACCGUGAGGGAAAGGUGAAAAGCACCCCGAAAGGGGGAUGAAAUAGUCUCUGAAAUGUGAUGCGUACAAAGAAGUCGGAGCCCCGCGUAAGCGGGGUGACGGCGUGCCUUUUGCAUAAUGAGCCAACGAGUUUGUUGUCAGCGGCAUGGCGAAGGGAGUACAUACCCGAAGCCGCAGCGAAAGCGAGUCCGAAUAGGGCGUUUUAGUCGCUGGCACAAGACCCGAAACCGGGUGAGCUAUCCAUGGGCAGGGUGAAGCCCCGCGAAAGCGGGGUGGAGGCCCGAACCGGUUGGUGUCGCAAGACCAUCGGAUGACCUGUGGAUAGGAGUGAAAAGCUCAUCGAACCCGGAGAUAGCUGGUUCUCCUCGAAAUGCCUUUAGGGGCAGCCUCGUCGUAACCUAUGGGGGGUAGAGAUACUGUUUGGAUGCGGGGGUCUUUCAGGCCUACCAAAUCCAGAUAAACUCCGAAUACCCAUAGUUUUAACCACGACGGGAGUGAGACGGUGACAGCGAACUGCCAUCGUCACAAGGGAAAUAGCCCAGACCAUUCGCUAAGGUCCCCAAAUGUCGUUCAGUGGAAAAGGAGGUGCAGGUGCGUUGACAACCAGGAGGUUGGCUUAGAAGCAGCCAUCCUUUAAAGAAAGCGUAACAGCUCACUGGUCGAUGCCCCUGUGCGCCGAAAAUGUAUCGGGGCGAAACGACAUACCGAAGCGGUGGGUGCGACGAAGCGCGCAAGCGCUUUGCCGCGCGGUAGAGGAGCGUUCCGUCCAGCAGUGAAGCUCCGUUGUGAAGCGGAGUGGAGCGGACGGAAGUGAGAAUGUUGGCAUGAGUAACUACUUGGCAGGUGAGAAUCCUGCCCGCCGAAUCCCCAAGGUUUCCCACGCAACGGUCAUCGGCGUGGGGUUAGUCGGUCCUAAGGCAAGGCCAAACGGCGUAGCCGAUGGACAGCAGGUCAAUAUUCCUGCACUUCAUGGAGAUCGCCAAGGGGUAGUUGUUGAGAGCCCAUCAGGCCUCUGCUCUACACCAUUCUGGAGUUGAAGAGAAUUAUGAAUCUGGUGUCAUUAUUACUUCUUAAUUCUUCUCCGAAUCUAGAAUGGUGUGGAGUACGUCAGGUAGGAAGGAUGCUUCUACUCUAGGAGCGGCAUGACGGAGCGGGACGAUCAGAGCGUGUGUAUGGAAUGCACGUGGAAUGCGUAAGACGUUGAUGUUGGGAGGCAAAUCCCCCAAGAGAGUCGAGCGCACAUCCCAAAUGCCCCGCGCAAGCGGGGUGAGUCUGAACCGUUCUGCUUCCAAGAAAAUCGUCGCGUCCGAGAGCUUCAUGAAACCGUACCGCAAACCAACACUGGUGGGGUGGUCGAGAAGACUAAGGCGAACGGGUCAUCUCGCGUCAAGGAACUCGGCAAAAAAGCGUCCGUAACUUCGGGAUAAGGACUGCCUCGCACGCGCAAGCGCAGCGGGGUCGCAGCGAAAGAGCUCAGGCGACUGUUUACCAAAAACACAGGUCCCUGCGAAGCCGUAAGGCAAUGUAUAGGGGCUGAUGCCUGGCCAGUGUCAGAAGGUUACGGAAGGGGGUUCACGCUCCCGACUUAAGCCCUGAUGAACGCCGGCGAUAACUAUAAUCGUCCUAUGGUAGCGAAAUUCCUUGUCG